CCUACGGGUGGCAGUAGUGGGGAAUAUUGGGCAAUGGGCGCAAGCCUGACCCAGCAACGCCGCGUGAAGGAAGAAGGCUUUCGGGUUGUAAACUUCUUUUAUCAGGGACGAAGCCAGUGACGGUACCUGCUGAAUAAGCCACGGCUCACUACGUGCCAGCAGCCGCGGUAAUACGUAGGUGGCAAGCGUUAUCCGGAUUUACUGGGUGUAAAGGGCGUUUAGGCGGGAGUGCAAGUCAGAUGGGAAAACUAUGGGCUAAACCCAUAGCCUGCAUUUGAAACUGUACUUCUGGAGUGCUGGGGAGGCAAUCGGAAUGCCGUGUGUAGCGGUGAAAUGCGUAGAUAUACGGAGGAAAACCAGUGGCGAAGGCGGAGUGCUGGACAGUAACUGACGCUGAGGCGCGAAAGCGUGGGGAGCAAACAGGAUUAGAUACCCCAGUAGUC
RNAcentral lists this ribosomal RNA (443 nucleotides) under uncultured bacterium. Its description in RNAcentral is "partial 16S ribosomal RNA". It matches the Rfam family "Bacterial small subunit ribosomal RNA", at positions 338 to 795 of the family's 1533-position model. The record is from RNAcentral.